ACAAUGGGCGCAAGCCUGAUGCAGCGACGCCGCGUGAGGGAUGGAGGCCUUCGGGUUGUAAACCUCUUUUAUCGGGGAGCAAGCGAGAGUGAGUUUACCCGUUGAAUAAGCACCGGCUAACUACGUGCCAGCAGCCGCGGUAAUACGUAGGGUGCAAGCGUUAUCCGGAAUUAUUGGGCGUAAAGGGCUCGUAGGCGGUUCGUCGCGUCCGGUGUGAAAGUCCAUCGCUUAACGGUGGAUCCGCGCCGGGUACGGGCGGGCUUGAGUGCGGUAGGGGAGACUGGAAUUCCCGGUGUAACGGUGGAAUGUGUAGAUAUCGGGAAGAACACCAAUGGCGAAGGCAGGUCUCUGGGCCGUUACUGACGCUGAGGAGCGAAAGCGUG
This 383-nucleotide ribosomal RNA is filed under the name uncultured Bifidobacterium sp. RNAcentral describes it as "bacterial SSU rRNA". It matches the Rfam family "Bacterial small subunit ribosomal RNA", at positions 368 to 763 of the family's 1533-position model. The record is from RNAcentral. Lineage: Bacteria; Bacillati; Actinomycetota; Actinomycetes; Bifidobacteriales; Bifidobacteriaceae.